Molecule: ribosomal RNA, 253 nt
Filed under: uncultured bacterium
Lineage: Bacteria
Description: partial 16S ribosomal RNA
Rfam family: Bacterial small subunit ribosomal RNA
Source: RNAcentral
UACGUAGGGUGCGAGCGUUAAUCGGAAUUACUGGGCGUAAAGCGUGCGCAGGCGGUUGGUUAAGUCUGGUGUGAAAGCCCCGGGCUCAACCUGGGAAUGGCAUUGGAAACUGGCUAGCUGGAGUGUGGCAGAGGGGGGUGGAAUUCCGCGUGUAGCAGUGAAAUGCGUAGAGAUGCGGAGGAACACCGAUGGCGAAGGCAGCCCCCUGGGCCAACACUGACGCUCAGGCACGAAAGCGUGGGGAGCAAACAGG